This 510-nucleotide ribosomal RNA is filed under the name uncultured bacterium. Its description in RNAcentral is "partial 16S ribosomal RNA". It matches the Rfam family "Bacterial small subunit ribosomal RNA", at positions 28 to 523 of the family's 1533-position model. The record is from RNAcentral.
GACGAACGCUGGCGGCGUGCCUAAUACAUGCAAGUCGAGCGAAUGACGAGAAGCUUGCUUCUCUGAUUUAGCGGCGGACGGGUGAGUAACACGUGGGCAACCUGCCCUACAGAUCGGGAUAACUCAGGGAAACCUGGGCUAAUACCGGAUAAUCCUUCGAAUCACAUGUUUUGAAGUUGAAAGGCGCUUCGGCGGCACUGUAGGAUGGGCCCGCGGUGCAGUAGCUAGUUGGCGGGGUAACGGCCAACCAAGGCAACGAUGCAUAGCCGACCUAAGAGGGUGAUCGGCCACAUUGGGACUGAGACACGGGCCAGACUCCGACGGGGGGCAGGAGGAGUGAAUCUUGCACGAUGGGCUGAAGUCUGAUGGAGCAACGCCGCGUGAGUGAUGAAGGUUUUCGGAUCGUAAAACUCUUUUGUAAGGGAAGAACAAGUACGUUAGGAAAUGAACGUACCUUGACGGUACCUUAUUAGAAAGCCACGGCUAACUACGUGCCAGCAGCCGCCGUAA